RNAcentral lists this ribosomal RNA (465 nucleotides) under uncultured ammonia-oxidizing beta proteobacterium. RNAcentral's name for it is "bacterial SSU rRNA". It matches the Rfam family "Bacterial small subunit ribosomal RNA", at positions 198 to 644 of the family's 1533-position model. Lineage: Bacteria; Pseudomonadati; Pseudomonadota; Betaproteobacteria. The record is from RNAcentral.
GGAGGAAAGCAGGGGAUCGUAAGACCUUGCGUUAAUGGAGCGGCCGAUAUCUGAUUAGCUAGUUGGUGGGGUAAAGGCCUACCAAGGCGACGAUCAGUAGUUGGUCUGAGAGGACGACCAGCCACACUGGGACUGAGACACGGCCCAGACUCCUACGGGAGGCAGCAGCGGGGAAUUUUGGACAAUGGGCGCAAGCCUGAUCCAGCAAUGCCGCGUGAGUGAAGAAGGCCUUCGGGUUGUAAAGCUCUUUCAGUCGAGAAGAAAAAGCUGUGGUGAAUAACUGCGGUUUAUGACGGUAUCGACAGAAGAAGCACCGGCUAACUACGUGCCAGCGGCCGCGGUAAUACGUAGGGUGCGAGCGUUAAUCGGAAUUACUGGGCGUAAAGGGUGCGCAGGCGGUUUUGUAAGUCAGAUGUGAAAUCCCCGGGCUUAACCUGGGAAUUGCGUUUGAAACUACAAAGCUAG